UACGUAGGUCCCGAGCGUUGUCCGGAUUUAUUGGGCGUAAAGCGAGCGCAGGUAGUUUAUUAAGUCUGGUGUAAAAGGCAGUGGCUCAACCAUUGUAUGCAUUGGAAACUGGUAGACUUGAGUGCAGGAGAGGAGAGUGGAAUUCCAUGUGUAGCGGUGAAAUGCGUAGAUAUAUGGAGGAACACCGGUGGCGAAAGCGGCUCUCUGGCCUGUAACUGACACUGAGGCUCGAAAGCGUGGGGAGCAAACAGG
This 252-nucleotide ribosomal RNA is filed under the name uncultured bacterium. RNAcentral describes it as "partial 16S ribosomal RNA". It matches the Rfam family "Bacterial small subunit ribosomal RNA", at positions 524 to 776 of the family's 1533-position model. The record is from RNAcentral.